Molecule: long non-coding RNA, 695 nt
Organism: Phyllostomus hastatus (greater spear-nosed bat)
Lineage: Eukaryota; Metazoa; Chordata; Mammalia; Chiroptera; Phyllostomidae
Exons: 2
Source: RefSeq, a predicted model, not a curated record
AAAUCCCAGGCGCUCCUCAGUCUAGGUGAUGCGCAGUCGCCCCCCCAGGCGGCCCAGGCGGCGGCAGCAGCUGCGGUGACUGCAAGGGCAGAUUCGGAGCGCUGGGGCGAAGGGGAGCGCAGCCCGCCUUCUGAGCGCGCCGACUCCGCUCGCCCCCCUCCCUCCGGGAGGUGGGGGCUGGGAGGCAUCUCCCCCACCCCCGUCUCCGCCCUCUUCCCCACCGCACAGGAAAGAUGAACCGAGGAGAGGUUUAUUUGCCUGGACCCAUCAGCAGCUGGGAGUCUCUAAUCAACAACACUGAAAAUGUUCGGGAUUUGUGGGGGAGGAGUUGGAAUGUAGAUGUUUGAAACAAAUGUGUAUAAAUAAAUGAAUUGUUUGUAACUUAGUUAUUGACCUGGAGACUGGCAGCUUGUUAAAGAAACUCCGUGUUUCUGGAGCCGGGUGUUUCUGUAGGCACUUUAUUUCUCCACUUUCAGAAGGUUGGGCUUGGCCCAACACAGGCUGACCCAUCCUCUUUCUCUUACCAUUUCAAACCCAUAGCUUGAACCUCUACCCUGAAAAACCAAAUUCAUUCCCUUAAAAAAAAAAGAUCACUUCUCAGACACCCUAACCUUUUUCUGGCUUUCCUUUUUGUUGCUGCCUAUUGAAGAGUUGGAUCGUACCCCCUUAAUAAAUAUAUUAAAAUUGAAAAAGAA